CUAAUCUUCUCUCGGAGCGGGCAGGGGCGGCAGUGGGCGCGGCGAGGGCUCAAAGAAGGACGGCCACGCUGGGCUGCAGGACAGAACUGGAGGGUCCUUAGCGACCUUGGGUUACUUCCCGUCUGAAAGCUGAUGCGGACGCGAAUGACGGCGUUACGGGCUGAACAGUGUUACUCAAGUCGCAUGUUGGAGUUCCCAGCCCAGGGCCUCAGAGCGACGGUGCCCGGAGACGGGUCUUUGCAGAAGUGAUGAGGGGCCUUUGCACCUGCUGCUUCCUGCCUAGAGCACCUUGCCCCAGUUCCUCACCUGGCUCACUCCUCCACUGUGUGAUGUCCCCGCACGUCUGAGGGAUUUCCCGGCCUCCCCGUCCAGAGGACCCCAUCUCCUCCUGACCACGUGACUCCAGUCCCUUGCCCCAUGAAUCCCCCUUAAACGCCUUGUAUUUUGCGUGUGUUCAUCGGUCUCCCCCACCGGCCGGCGAGCUGUGCGGGCAGGGGCUUUGCUUCCCCCGCUGCUGCUCUGUUCCCAGGGCUAAUGCGGUGCUGGGCUCCUGUGGGGACUCAGUCUCCAUCGGUGAAGUCAUGAAGGAAGGAGCGAUGUCCGCCUCAUUCCUGAGGACUCGAGGAGCGGCUCCCGUGAGCCAGGCGCAGAAAUUGGA
This is a long non-coding RNA of Lutra lutra (Eurasian river otter), 658 nucleotides long. RefSeq lists it as uncharacterized. Lineage: Eukaryota; Metazoa; Chordata; Mammalia; Carnivora; Mustelidae. The transcript is spliced from 3 exons. The record is from RefSeq and is a predicted model, not a curated record.